CCACGCGCCCCUCCCCCGGUCGGCUCCCGGUCGCUGUCAAAGCCGAGGGACGACGAGGAGGUCGCUGGGGCCCCGGGGAGGCUGUGGUCCUCUGCCCCGUCCGCCGUGGAGGAGGAGGAGGAGGAGGAGGAAGAGAAGACAGAAGAGCGGCGCCCCGAGUCCGGGAAAGCGGGGCUGUCCCGGGGGGUGGAGGCCCGGGGGAGAGCAGGGUUGUCCUGCAGGGUCGUGGCCUGGGUGCUGCCCCGCUGUGCGCCCCUGGCUAGGGCGCUCACCUUCAGCUGCCACCCGCUGUCCCCAGCGGCCACUCGGCCGGUGCCUUCCAUCCUGAGCCCUCGCCUGGCUUCCAGUGACAGGGAGAGUCGGUGCGGAGUGCCCGGGCUGCCCUGGAGGGACAGUGGGGCCCCGGCAGCGGGGACCGUGGGCCCCUCUACCUCUGCUGCCACCUCCCAGGAUUUCAGCCCCGGUGUGGCAGCCGUGGCCAGACCGAGGGACCUGGCGGCAGAGGGGCUCUGAGGCCGGGGGGCUGCGGCUCCGGCUGAGACCGCGGCCAGCGUCCUGCAGCUGAGCUGUCCUAUCCAGCAGCUGACCUGGCACCGUGCUCGGCUGGGGACAAGAGUGCCAUCAGCCCCGGAAGCAGCAGCAUCCGUAGGUCGACCCCUGAACUCCCAGAAAUGAAAAGAAAGCAUGAGCUGCUUCUCCUGAAGCCUUGUUCUUUUCCUGGAUGGGGCGAGAGAGGGUCACGUCAUUCCUGAAAUAGUUUUAGUGACCAUUCCCUACUCAUAUGGGAACCACGCUUGAGGGUAGAGGGAAGGAGGCCCUGAGAGGUGGAAAGAGAAGGUUGAGGGUGGCGGCACGCGGCUCCCGGUUCAAGUCCACCGAAUGCUCGACGUAAUCUAUCGCACAGAUGUCCGGCAGGUGUGCAGUUAUUCCUGACUCAUUGGCACACCCGCCAAAGCCUCUGAUUUAGAUGGAUUUUCCCUUGUUCUGAAACACAAUUCAAAUGUACUGUGCCUCCAAUUCAUUAAGGACACUGCGGAAAUACUUCCAAAAAAAUCUCCACUUUUACAUAUGACAGCUUUGUAUUUGCCUCAAAAUCUGUGCAUUUUCUUUUCUCUUUGGAGAGCCAAGUCAGAUGAGUUCCGACAGUAAAAAUCUUCAUAGAAAAAAAAAUUUCAUCUGUCUUUCCCCCAAGUUAUGCUCUGUGAGCCAUAACUUGUUUCAAAAAAGGAAAAAUCCCCUCUAGAACCCGUACUCCAGCUACUCAAAGUAUAAAUGGACAGUUUUCAAAGACAUUGAACUUAACACUUUAAAUGUUAAAUUACCGUCACAAAAAAGAGCACAUAGGCCAGUACUUACUUCAAACCCCUACCAUAUCUAAUCCAUUUCAAAAACGGUUUCCUGAACUUUAAAACCAUGGCAAGACAAUAAACUCCCAAUUAAAUAUAGCUUGGGCUGCAGGCUCACGAUUAGGUUACGCUGGCUGCAUUCCAGGCCCGCAGGGAAGAACAAGGAACAUGCUUACCCUUCAUAAGUACAGUGCGGCUUGGAGGGAGAUUCAGAGAGGAAACGGGAGCUGCUGGCAUGCCCCUCGGGAGCGGAGCCAGGAGCCCAGCUCCUGGGCCCAAGGCCACAUCACUGCAGAUGAGCCAAUGGCUGUGCCUGAGUCUGCCAGCACCCACGGCGGGGGUCCACGCUGGCCACCCUCCGAGCAGUGCCUGGGCACAUGCCUUGAAAACAUGGUCUAAGGAAAGAUGGAGACAACGGGUCCAGGGACGGGCACAAAGCCAAGCUCAAGGUGGAGAGCAAUAGAAGAAAAAGAAGAAGCUGCACCAAAACUUAGUUUCCUGUGGAUAAUAAUUACAUGUAUGGUUUAUAUAGUGUUCACUGUGUCCUAGGAGCUACUCCAAACACUUUUUGAUGUAUGUAUUUUAUUUAAUUCUCAUAAAAACCUGACAAGUUAAGUUUGAUUAUUGUACUGAUUUUACAGAUGGGAAACUGAGGCACAGAAAUGAUAGGAAAUUGUGCAGCAGAAUUCAAACCCAGGCAGUCUGGCUGCAGAGCUGGCAUCUUAACCAGGAUGCUACACCAUCAGGCUGACUUCUGCACUGUCAUACUCAUGGGGCACCCAGACCAUCAGUUGGAAGGACUGACUUAGCCACUAUGUGACCACAAAUUAACUUUGAGAUGUUUUUCAUGCAAUCAACCUGUGUACACAUUGUGCACUCAGGGAUUAAGGCACAUGGUCCUAUAAAUAAAAUGAAAUAAAAUAUAGUUGGCACCUUCAGGCAAGCAAAGUAUUUUCAGUUUCCUGUGUUAAUUUUUGCUUUGAGGCUGGUAACCUUGACCAGUAAACUUGUUGAGGUCUUCCAGCUCUGAGAGGCACACACGCUCCAUAGCUGAGCGGAGGCAGAGUUUCCGCCCAUCAGGCAAUUACAGUCAAGGAGGAGUUGGUGCAGCACUUGCCAUAUGCCCCUGUCUGUCAUGAAAACACAAAGAUCUCAGCAGUUCUCCCCCCCAGUUGGCAAACUGUAAAACUGGAAGGUCAGAUGCCUGAGAUGUAGGCUAAACCCUAACCACCAAAUACCCAAGGUUCUGAAAGUCUUCUUCCAGAGUGUUGCCCCUCAGUCCUAGCCAGAGAAGCAAACAGAAAGUGGUUUUAAAACUUAAUUUGUAUUUUGGGCCGGGGAUUUAGCUCAGUGGUUCCGCUCCCUGCCUCGCAAGUGCAAGGACCCAGGUUCGAUCCCUGGUACCUAAAAAAUAAAAAUUAAAACGUACUCACCUCCAAAAC
Long non-coding RNA from Heterocephalus glaber (naked mole-rat), 2788 nucleotides. The record is from Ensembl. Lineage: Eukaryota; Metazoa; Chordata; Mammalia; Rodentia; Bathyergidae.